AUUAAUUUUUGUAUUUGGCAGUUGGGUUAAAAGUCAACAGGAGUUGACUGGUGGUGGUGGUGGUGGUGGUUCGAUUCUGUGAGGUUGUGGAAAGCAGGUCCACAGAUAACGUCCACCAUCUGUGUGGCAUCUGCGUGGGUUGUCUCUGGGUAUUCUGGUUUUCUCCCGCGUCCCAAAGCUGUGCACUUGAGGUUCAUUGGUGUGUCUGCAGGGUCCCAGUCUGAGUGCAUGUGAAUGUGUGUGAGCGUGCCCUGCAAUGGCAUGGUGUCCUGUCCUGAGCUGGUUCCUGAUGCAUAGUUCUCCUGGCCCUGCAAUGGUUGAGCACAGACCCUGCUAAGCAGCCGUGCUGGGGAGUGGACUUCAACCUCAUGUGGCUCCAGCCAGCCUGGAACAAACGCCCCCAAUGUGUAGAAGCCAGCCACCUGGCCGACAGUCACCCUCUAGGAGCUAAGAAGAGUUUGCAUACCUGACAGCAGGUCAGCCUGGAAGCACCAUGAACUCUGUGCCAACACCGUGCCAGCACUGUGCAGACAGGGCACAGCACCGAGCUCAGCGCCCCGCAAGCAAGGUCCUGUUAAUUUCCAGGCCAGCUCUUCCCCCACCGGCCCCGCAAGCCUUCAGGGUGCCUCCCGCUCCGUGGCCCACCCCGCUGCCUGCCUCCUUCUACUGAUCUGUCAGCUCCGAUCUGACUCAAGGACCAAGGCUUAGUCGUCCUUCUACCUGCUCGGGUUCUUGCACAAGAAUAAACAAAUCGAUAAAAACCCUGGAUUGAGAGAUAAAGUUAAAAAAGACCUCAGAGUGGCCUGGUGCUGCGGCUUGCUCUUCACAGCCGGCCUCUCACUGGAGGAGGGAUCAGGGCGGGUCUCUGCUCCGCACUGCGCUGGUAAGAGCCUGGGAAGAGAUGCUGUCUGUGGUGAGCACGUGAUAGACAUUCCACGACCCGACCUGUCGGUGCCCUGGUUCUCAUUGUUUCUUCUCAUUUCCAGCUGCAUUUAUCUCUUGUCUAACUUGGGCAGUGUUAAGGGCACAACUGUGUUUAGCCCAUUAGCCAAUUUGUUUUCAGAUAAUAAUGCAAAUGGCUGUUACUCCCAACACACCUAACAAGACUGACAGCCAAUCUCAACUGCUUCUGUGUUUUCCUAUGGAUAUUUCUUCUAAAGAACUCCUAACUAUCUCUCUCCCUGAUGCCACAGAGCUCACGGCAGGCCCUGCCAUCAAGUUAGGGGACCCUGGAAGCCCCUGGAAGCCCUAGGCCGUAACUGCCUGACUGAGCUCCCUGUGGCUCUGCAAGGAACUGGGGCCAUCUCAGAGCUGCGUCCCAGUCUGUGGCCCCAGAAUCCCAACUAAAUGAAGUGCAGUCUCCCUGAGCAUCUCCACCAAGCCACGCAGGUGCUGCCAGAUUCAAAGGCAAUACACAGGCAGGAGUGAGUUACCUGUAUUAAAUCACAAACUGUGUGGCGA
RNAcentral lists this long non-coding RNA (1461 nucleotides) under Homo sapiens (human). RNAcentral describes it as "HSALNT0334099". The record is from RNAcentral. Lineage: Eukaryota; Metazoa; Chordata; Mammalia; Primates; Hominidae.